Molecule: long non-coding RNA, 608 nt
Filed under: Chinchilla lanigera (long-tailed chinchilla)
Lineage: Eukaryota; Metazoa; Chordata; Mammalia; Rodentia; Chinchillidae
Description: lncRNA (ENSCLAG00000025270.1)
Source: RNAcentral
UAACACCUCAGACCCUUUGCCGUUCUUGACAUAUAUCUGAAAUUUUUAUUUGAUCACUAAUGGAAGGAACUAAGAAAAGACACAUAGUCUUAGUAAAGUGAGUGAGGACUUGGGAAGCUCUUUUAUCCAUUUUGCUCAGCUCACACUGAGAAAAAUGUCUCAAUUAUUUCUACCUCUAUAAUACAGAAGGCCCUGGAGCGGGGAAAGAAGAAAAAAGCCUACUGCAAAGGGAAAAUGCCUUAUGAUGCAGAGCGUUGCACUUGGAACUGAGAGUUUAGAUUCAAAUUCCAGCUCUGCCAGUGGGGCCUUGGGUUCUUUCCUAGAAAGAAAGCCACUAGGUGAUGGAGAUUUGGUAAUAACCGAGAUUUCUUUGCUGUGUGAUCUGGGGCUGGCCCCCUGAGCCAAACUCCCUGAGCUCCUUGCUCCAGAGAUUGAAGAAGCAACCAACGGGCAACUAGAGGUAAAAAUUCUUGGCAGAUUAUAAAGCACUAGUAUAAUGACGGCUUUGUUAUGAGCUAUGCAUGAACAGGAUUACAAUUUUACAUUAUUUUACCUCAUACGAUUCUCAUUGAAGUGGGUGCCAUAAUCUACUCUUCCAAAGAAAGGGG